This 483-nucleotide ribosomal RNA is filed under the name uncultured bacterium. RNAcentral describes it as "bacterial SSU rRNA". It matches the Rfam family "Bacterial small subunit ribosomal RNA", at positions 29 to 507 of the family's 1533-position model. The record is from RNAcentral.
AUUGAACGCUGGCGGCAUGCUUUACACAUGCAAGUCGAACGGUAACAGGGAGCUUGCUCCGCUGACGAGUGGCGAACGGGUGAGUAAUGCAUCGGAACGUACCCAGUCGUGGGGGAUAACGUAGCGAAAGUUACGCUAAUACCGCAUACGUCCUGAGGGAGAAAGCGGGGGACCGUAAGGCCUCGCGCGAUUGGAGCGGCCGAUGUCGGAUUAGCUAGUUGGUGGGUAAAGGCCUACCAAGGCGACGAUCCGUAGCGGGUCUGAGAGGAUGAUCCGCCACACUGGGACUGAGACACGGCCCAGACUCCUACGGGAGGCAGCAGUGGGGAAUUUUGGACAAUGGGGGCAACCCUGAUCCAGCCAUGCCGCGUGAGUGAAGAAGGCCUUCGGGUUGUAAAGCUCUUUCAGACGGAAAGAAAACGCAUCGGUGAAUACCCGGUGUGGAUGACGGUACCGUAAGAAGAAGCACCGGCUAACUACGUG